Molecule: ribosomal RNA, 821 nt
Filed under: Coprinellus curtus
Lineage: Eukaryota; Fungi; Basidiomycota; Agaricomycetes; Agaricales; Psathyrellaceae
Description: eukaryotic LSU rRNA
Rfam family: Eukaryotic large subunit ribosomal RNA
Source: RNAcentral
GAUUCCCCUAGUAACUGCGAGUGAAGCGGGAAAAGCUCAAAUUUAAAAUCUGGCGGUCUUUGGCCGUCCGAGUUGUAAUCUAGAGAAGUGUUACCCGCGUCGGACCGUGUACAAGUCUCCUGGAAUGGAGCGUCAUAGAGGGUGAGAAUCCCGUCUUUGACACGGACUACCGAGGCUUUGUGGUGCGCUCUCAAAGAGUCGAGUUGUUUGGGAAUGCAGCUCAAAAUGGGUGGUAAAUUCCAUCUAAAGCUAAAUAUUGGCGAGAGACCGAUAGCGAACAAGUACCGUGAGGGAAAGAUGAAAAGAACUUUGGAAAGAGAGUUAAACAGUACGUGAAAUUGCUAAAAGGGAAACGCUUGAAGUCAGUCGCGUUGUCCGGGAAUCAGCCUUCCUUCUGGUUGGUGUACUUCCUGGUUGACGGGCCAGCAUCAGUUUUGACCGGUGGAAAAAGUUCGAGGGAAGGUGGCACCUUCGGGUGUGUUAUAGCCCUCGUUCGUAUACAUCGGUUGGGACUGAGGAACUCAGCACGCCGCAAGGCCGGGAUUCGUCCACGUUCGUGCUUAGGAUGCUGGCAUAAUGGCUUUAAUCGACCCGUCUUGAAACACGGACCAAGGAGUCUAACAUGCCUGCGAGUGUUUGGGUGGAAAACCCGAGCGCGUAAUGAAAGUGAAAGUUGAGAUCCCUGUCAUGGGGAGCAUCGACGCCCGGACCAGACGUUUUCUGACGGUUCUGCGGUAGAGCAUGUAUGUUGGGACCCGAAAGAUGGUGAACUAUGCCUGAAUAGGGUGAAGCCAGAGGAAACUCUGGUGGAGGCUCGUAGC